AUGUCUGGGAAACUGCCUGAUGGAGGGGGAUAACUACUGGAAACGGUGGCUAAUACCGCAUAACGUCGCAAGACCAAAGAGGGGGACCUUCGGGCCUCUUGCCAUCAGAUGUGCCCAGAUGGGAUUAGCUUGUUGGUGAGGUAACGGCUCACCAAGGCGACGAUCCCUAGCUGGUCUGAGAGGAUGACCAGCCACACUGGAACUGAGACACGGUCCAGACUCCUACGGGAGGCAGCAGUGGGGAAUAUUGCACAAUGGGCGCAAGCCUGAUGCAGCCAUGCCGCGUGUAUGAAGAAGGCCUUCGGGUUGUAAAGUACUUUCAGCGGGGAGGAAGGUGUUGUGGUUAAUAACCGCAGCAAUUGACGUUACCCGCAGAAGAAGCACCGGCUAACUCCGUGCCAGCAGCCGCGGUAAUACGGAGGGUGCAAGCGUUAAUCGGAAUUACUGGGCGUAAAGCGCACGCAGGCGGUCUGUCAAGUCGGAUGUGAAAUCCCCGGGCUCAACCUGGGAACUGCAUUCGAAACUGGCAGGCUUGAGUCUUGUAGAGGGGGGUAGAAUUCCAGGUGUAGCGGUGAAAUGCGUAGAGAUCUGGAGGAAUACCGGUGGCGAAGGCGGCCCCCUGGACAAAGACUGACGCUCAGGUGCGAAAGCGUGGGGAGCAAACAGGAUUAGAUACCCUGGUAGUCCACGCCGUAAACGAUGUCUACUUGGAGGUUGUGCCCUUGAGGCGUGGCUUCCGGAGCUAACGCGUUAAGUAGACCGCCUGGGGAGUACGGCCGCAAGGUUAAAACUCAAAUGAAUUGACGGGGGCCCGCACAAGCGGUGGAGCAUGUGGUUUAAUUCGAUGCAACGCGAAGAACCUUACCUGGUCUUGACAUCCACAGAACUUUCCAGAGAUGGACUGGUGCCUUCGGGAACUGUGAGACAGGUGCUGCAUGGCUGUCGUCAGCUCGUGUUGUGAAAUGUUGGGUUAAGUCCCGCAACGAGCGCAACCCUUAUCCUUUGUUGCCAGCGGUCCGGCCGGGAACUCAAAGGAGACUGCCAGUGAUAAACUGGAGGAAGGUGGGGAUGACGUCAAGUCAUCAUGGCCCUUACGACCAGGGCUACACACGUGCUACAAUGGCGCAUACAAAGAGAAGCGACCUCGCGAGAGCAAGCGGACCUCAUAAAGUGCGUCGUAGUCCGGAUUGGAGUCUGCAACUCGACUCCAUGAAGUCGGAAUCGCUAGUAAUCGUGGAUCAGAAUGCCACGGUGAAUACGUUCCCGGGCCUUGUACACACCGCCCGUCACACCAUGGGAGUGGGUUGCAAAAGAAGUAGGUAGCUUAACCUUCGGGAGGGCGCUUACCACUUUGUGAUUCAUGACUGGGGUGAAGUCGUAACAAGGUAACCGUAGGGGAACCUGCGGUUGGAUCACCUCCUUA
Molecule: ribosomal RNA, 1423 nt
Filed under: Salmonella enterica subsp. enterica serovar Kentucky
Lineage: Bacteria; Pseudomonadati; Pseudomonadota; Gammaproteobacteria; Enterobacterales; Enterobacteriaceae
Description: bacterial SSU rRNA
Rfam family: Bacterial small subunit ribosomal RNA
Source: RNAcentral